ACACGCAAGCACACGUGGAAAGCCUUGCCUGGGGAGGAGCUGAGGCUCCUCCAACAGCUGGACCAGCUAACUUGGAGCCAUCUUGGAAGCAGAUCCUUUAUCCCAGUCUAGACUUCCAGGUGACUGCAGUCCCAACCAACAUCUUGCCUGCAGUCUCAAGAGGGGCUCUGAGCCAGAACCACCCAGGUGGGCCCUAAGUCCAUCGGCUGGUUCCCCAUGAGGGAAAGGAGAGGGAGAUUCGACACAGACCCAGAGGCGAAGGCAGGUGACAACGGAGGCAGAGGUUGGAGUGACGUGUCUAUAAGCCAAAGACAGUGUGUUGGCUGCCACCAGAAGCUGGGAGAGAGGCACUGAACGUUUUCCCUCAGGGCCUCCAGAAGGAACCAGCCCUGCCAACACCUUGGUUUUGGACUUCUGGCUCCAGAACUGUAGGAUGAUAACUUUCUGAUGUUUUAAGCCACUCAGUUAGUGGUAAUUUGAUACAACAGGUGCAGGAAACUCAGACAGAGGGCGAGGAUGAGGGAAAGAAGAGGAAAAGGAAGAAGAGGAAGGGGGACAAGAGCAAGGGCUUCUAAAGGGCAAAGGACACGAAGGUUCAGAAGUCGGUCAGAGGGAUGCUCCGUGUGCCUGGAGGAUCUCUGCCCUCUGCCUGUUCUUGUUCCAAUAAAGUUAAAUUUUUUUUCUUUUA
This is a long non-coding RNA of Camelus dromedarius (Arabian camel), 688 nucleotides long. RefSeq lists it as uncharacterized. Lineage: Eukaryota; Metazoa; Chordata; Mammalia; Artiodactyla; Camelidae. The transcript is spliced from 2 exons. The record is from RefSeq and is a predicted model, not a curated record.